RNAcentral lists this ribosomal RNA (477 nucleotides) under uncultured bacterium. Its description in RNAcentral is "partial 16S ribosomal RNA". It matches the Rfam family "Bacterial small subunit ribosomal RNA", at positions 29 to 523 of the family's 1533-position model. The record is from RNAcentral.
AACGAACGCUGGCGGCAGCUUAACACAUGCAAGUCUAGCGAUGAAAUUCCUUCGGGAAUGGAUUAGCGGCGGACGGGUGAGUAACACGUGGGUAACCUGCCUCAUAGAGGGGAAUAGCCUUCCGAAAGGAAGAUUAAUACCACAUAAGAUUGUAGUGCCGCAUGGCAUAGCAAUUAAAGGAGUAAUCCGCUAUGAGAUGGACCCGCGUCGCAUUAGCUAGUUGGUGAGGUAACGGCUCACCAAGGCGACGAUGCGUAGCUGACCUGAGAGGGUGAUCGGCCACAUUGGGACUGAGACACGGCCCAGACUCCUACGGGAGGCAGCAGUGGGGAAUAUUGCACAAUGGGGGAAACCCUGAUGCAGCAACGCCGCGUGAGUGAUGAAGGUCUUCGGAUUGUAAAGCUCUGUCUUCAGGGACGAUAAUGACGGUACCUGAGGAGGAAGCCACGGCUAACUACGUGCCAGCCGCCGCGGUAA